RNAcentral lists this ribosomal RNA (467 nucleotides) under uncultured bacterium. Its description in RNAcentral is "partial 16S ribosomal RNA". It matches the Rfam family "Bacterial small subunit ribosomal RNA", at positions 28 to 507 of the family's 1533-position model. The record is from RNAcentral.
GACGAACGCUGGCGGCGUGCUUAACACAUGCAAGUCGAACGGUGAUGCUCCAGCUUGCUGGAGUGGAUCAGUGGCGAACGGGUGAGUAACACGUGAGCAACCUGCCCCAGACUCUGGAAUAAGCGCUGGAAACGGCGUCUAAUACUGGAUACGAAACUGGCCCGCAUGGGCAUGGUUUGGAAAGUUUUCGGUUUGGGAUGGGCUCGCGGCCUAUCAGCUUGUUGGUGAGGUAAUGGCUCACCAAGGCGACGACGGGUAGCCGGCCUGAGAGGGCGACCGGCCACACUGGGACUGAGACACGGCCCAGACUCCUACGGGAGGCAGCAGUGGGGAAUAUUGCACAAUGGGCGAAAGCCUGAUGCAGCGACGCCGCGUGAGGGAUGACGGCCUUCGGGUUGUAAACCUCUUUCAGCAGGGAAGAAGCGAAAGUGACGGUACCUGCAGAAGAAGCACCGGCUAACUACGUG